This 253-nucleotide ribosomal RNA is filed under the name uncultured bacterium. RNAcentral's name for it is "partial 16S ribosomal RNA". It matches the Rfam family "Bacterial small subunit ribosomal RNA", at positions 524 to 776 of the family's 1533-position model. The record is from RNAcentral.
UACAGAGGGGGCAAGCGUUGUUCGGAAUUACUGGGCGUAAAGGGCGCGUAGGCGGCCUUCUAAGUCAGACGUGAAAUCCCUCGGCUCAACCGGGGAACUGCGUCUGAGACUGGAAGGCUUGAAUCCGGGAGAGGGAUGUGGAAUUCCAGGUGUAGCGGUGAAAUGCGUAGAUAUCUGGAGGAACACCGGUGGCGAAGGCGGCAUCCUGGACCGACACUGACGCUGAGGCGCGAAAGCUAGGGGAGCAAACGGG